CAGUAGGGUUGCCCAGGAACUUGCUAAAUUCUUGCAAGUUACCUGGCAGUUUCAUAUACCCUAUCAUCCACAGAAUACAGGGGUAGUUGAAAGGAUGAAUAGGACUAAUAAGGAAAAGCCCAGAAUUUACCCAGGAACAUGGGUAAAUUGGACUAGAUAUCUACCAGCUAUUUUAGCUGAGAUAAGAAUGAAUCCCCACAAGGUGACUAAAUUAUCUCCAUUUGAGAUUUUGAUGGGAUGACCUUUUCCCACACCCUGGGCCAGGGAACUGCUUGUUAUAAUGUCUGGGGAUUUACAGCUAAUACAAGAACAAUAUGUACAGGAAUUGUUGAUAAAACCGAAUGGUAUGUAUGGCAAUGUUUCUUCGCAGUUUUCACUUAUCUUCACAGGAACCUACUCAUCCAUACCAGCCCGGUGACAAGGUGUAUAUCCGUCAGCUGAACAGGACCAAGAAAGGAGGAUACCCUUUUGGACCACCUGCUACUGUGAUUGCUGUACCCAGAACCGCUGUCCUCACAGAUUCCCACGACAUCUGGAUUCACGCAUCCCGAGUGAAGCUGUGUCCAAAGAGGGGAACCAAGGAAGACAACACCACUCCUCGCUCGGAAACAGAAGAAUUUCUCCUCAGCGAAGCAUCAUGGCUUUUACACCAUAUCGUAGAUUGAGAGGAUCAUACAUACCUGAGACCAAGAUUAUGUUGUGCGCUAUGCUUUCUGGAGUUGUUAUACUCCCUCUGAUAUUGUCCCUUGAAUGCCAUUAUGAGUACAAGUCAAUGGCAAGUUUGAAACCUGUUUGUUUCUGGAAAAAAGACUCUGACAUGAUGAACAAUUCUUCAAUACCCCCAGCCCAAUUAGGCCUUAGCCCCUCAUCUAGCAUUCGUCACACACGCCCCCUCAAGAACCUUUCUACACCACCUUUCUAUCAGCAUGUAAUAUGCAAGCACUCAUCGACUGAACGCAUUUGGAUGAAUUGGACAAAUAGUAACCCUUAUAAGUACCAGUUACCCAUAUGAAAUGUGUCUACAGCUAAUGAAACCGAUGCAUUAUGUUUGUUUGAAGGUUCACAGAAAAUUGUUAGAUCUUAUAACGCAGAAAUGUGCACAGUUAAGGUUGCAUAUCAAUGUAAACAGAAAGGCCUUAUUACUUUUAAUAAUGAUUAUAUAACUGGUAUCAUUAAU
Pelobates cultripes (western spadefoot toad) is the source of this 1177-nucleotide non-coding RNA. The record is from the annotation of a GenBank genome assembly. NCBI's taxonomy places the organism in Eukaryota, Metazoa, Chordata, Amphibia, Anura, Pelobatidae.